This 49-nucleotide ribosomal RNA is filed under the name Karlodinium veneficum. RNAcentral describes it as "partial 26S ribosomal RNA". The record is from RNAcentral. Lineage: Eukaryota; Dinophyceae; Gymnodiniales; Kareniaceae.
CAAGACAUGAAGUUAGGUCAGCAAACCCGCUGAACUUAAGCAUCUGUCG